ACGACGACAAAAUCUACUUCUUCUUUCGUGAGACGGCGGUAGAGGCGGCGCCGGCACUGGGACGCCUGUCCGUGUCCCGCGUUGGCCAGAUCUGCCGGGUGAGGAGUCCCUGGGCCACACCCGGCGACCCUGCCCCUACCCCUUUGCCUGCCCUGGUCUCGCCCUCAUCCCCUUUGAUCGUCCCGGCAGAACGACGUGGGCGGCCAGCGCAGCCUGGUCAACAAGUGGACGACGUUCCUGAAGGCGCGGCUGGUGUGCUCGGUGCCCGGCGUCGAGGGCGACACCCACUUCGAUCAGCUCCGUGAGUGCGGGAGUGGGUAUGGGGUUGGGGAGGGGGGCAGCGGCGCAGACUCCGGGAGCCCCCGCCGCAGCGGGGCUGUGCGCCCUACCCCAGCUAGGCCCCUUCCCCGCAGAGGAUGUGUUUCUGUUGUCCUCGCGGGACCACCGGACCCCGCUGCUCUAUGCCGUCUUCUCCACGUCCAGCAGCAUCUUCCAGGGCUCUGCGGUGUGCGUGUACAGCAUGAACGACGUGCGCCGGGCCUUCUUGGGACCCUUUGCACACAAGGAGGGGCCCAUGCACCAGUGGGUGUCAUACCAGGGUCGCGUCCCCUACCCGCGGCCAGGCAUGGUUCGUAGCCCAGGGACUUCUACUACAACCCACUUCAAAGCCUCAAGGGUUUGAGAACUUGGCCUGGGGUCUUCUUGGUGAAUGUGGUUUCUUCCUUUAGUUAUGGGUGGGAAAACGUUUCCAUCAUAAGACAAGGCUUGUUUCCCGCCUCUGACUUCCUAGGGCAAGGCUGAUCUCCUCUCUAAUUCUCAGGGCAGGGUUCUGUCCCCAUCCCCCUCCAUGUUCCCAGAGGCUGGGCAUGGAGGGCUGCCUAUCAAGCCCCCAUAUCUAUAUCCCUGCUGUGCCUCCCUUUCCCCCACCCCCAGUGUCCCAGCAAGACCUUUGGCACCUUCAGUUCCACCAAGGACUUCCCAGACGAUGUCAUCCAGUUUGCGCGGAACCACCCCCUCAUGUACAACCCUGUCCUGCCCAUUGGGGGGCGCCCUCUUUUCCUACAAGUUGGAGCCAAUUACACCUUCACUCAAAUUGCCGCGGACCGGGUUGCAGCCGCUGACGGACACUAUGACGUCCUCUUCAUUGGCACAGACGCUGGCACGGUGCUGAAGGUGAUCUCGGUCCCCAAGGGCAGUAGGCCCAGCGCAGAGGGGCUGCUCCUGGAGGAGCUGCACGUGUUUGAGGUGAGGCCUCGCCCCCAGUCGCCCGGGACCCCCCCACCCCCCUAAGCCCUGACCCCGUCGCCCCUCCUCCCUCUCAGGACUCGGCCGCUGUCACGAGCAUGCAAAUUUCUUCCAAGAGGGUGAGUGACCAGGAUGGGGAUCGGGGUGGGAUGGACUGAGCUUGUGCCUGGCGCGUCCCAAGCCUCUGGCCCCUUUUGGUAGUUUGCAGUCCCGGGUUUGAGUACAGGCUCUGGCUUUGCUAGACUGUGUGACCUGAGGCGUAAGACCUCAGUGUUCCCAUCUGUCGAGUGGGAGAAGGGAUCCCUGACCGAUGGGAGGCAGGCGUGGGGUCGCCCUCGGUCAGCCCAGAGCCCCUCGUGCCCCCUAGCACCAGCUGUACGUAGCCUCGCGGAGCGCGGUGGCCCAGAUCGCGUUGCACCGCUGCGCUGCCCACGGCCGCGUCUGCACCGAAUGCUGUCUGGCGCGUGACCCCUACUGCGCCUGGGACGGGGUCGCGUGCACGCGCUUCCAGCCCAGUGCCAAGAGGCGGUUCCGGCGGCAAGACGUAAGGAAUGGCGACCCCAGCACGUUGUGCUCCGGAGACUCGUCUCGUCCCGCGCUGCUGGAACACAAGGUGUUCGGCGUGGAGGGCAGCAGCGCCUUUCUGGAGUGUGAGCCCCGGUCGCUGCAGGCGCGCGUGGAGUGGACUUUCCAGCGCGCAGGGGUGACAGCCCACACCCAGGUAAGCCUUACUCCGCCCUCCCCGCCAGGCUCCUGUCCCACCCCCUGCAUCCAGGAGAGGCCCCGCCCUACCCAACGAAGCCCCGUCCAACCAGAUCCACUCCCCGCCCUGUCCAGUUUGGUCCCUCACCUGCACUCCACAAGCUGCUGAGGCCCCAUUGCGUCCAACGGGGCUCCCGACCCGCCUCCCCUGAAUCAAGGAGAAGACCCGCCCUCGACCCUCCCAUUGAGGUCCCUGACCCACCCACCACCACUCCCCCCCACGUUCAUGUAAACCCCGCCUCUUUCGGAUUCUCCCUUGAAGACCACCAGCUCCCAAACACUCAGCCUUAAAAUGUGCGCCUGCGGGCACCCCUUUCCCGCUCCACCUCGGCUCCCAAUGACUCUUUGCUUCUUCCGUCGCGUGCUAGGGCCCGGAAGCCCUGUUCCCGGCCCGACACCUCCGCCUCACGCUGCCCUCUGCCCGCAGGUGCUGGCAGAGGAGCGCACCGAGCACACCGCCCGGGGACUACUGCUGCGCAGGCUGCGGCGCCGGGACUCGGGCGUGUACUUGUGCGCCGCCGUCGAGCAGGGCUUUACGCAACCGCUGCGUCGCCUGUCGCUGCACGUGUUGAGUGCUACGCAGGCCGAACGACAGGCGCGGGCCGAGGAGGCUGCGCCCGCCGCGCCGCCGGGCCCCAAACUCUGGUACCGGGACUUUCUGCAGCUGGUGGAGCCGGGCGGCGGUGGCAGCGCGAACUCCCUGCGCAUGUGCCGCCCGCAGCCUGCGCUGCAGUCACUGCCCCUGGAGUCGCGGAGAAAGGGCCGUAACCGGAGGACCCACGCCCCUGAGCCUCGCGCUGAGCGGGGGCCGCGCAGCGCAACGCACUGGUGACUGGACUGUCCCCACGCCGGGAACCAAGCAGGAGACGACAGGCGAGAGAGGAGCCAGACAGACCCUGAAAAGAAGGACGGGUUGGGGCCGGGCACAUUGGGGGUCACCGGCCGAUGGAGACACCAACCGACAGGCCCUGGCUGAGGGCAGCUGCGCGGGCUUAUUUAUUAACAGGAUAACCCUUGAAUGUAGCAGCCCCGGGAGGGCGGCACAGGUCGGGCCCAGGAUUCAGCCGGAGGGAAGGGACGGGGAAGCCGGGCUCCAGAGCAACGACCAGGGCCGAGGAGGUGCCUGGAGUGCCCACCCUGGGAGACAGACCCCACCUCCUUGGGUAGUGAGCAGUGAGCAGAAAGCUGUGAACAGGCUGGGCUGCUGGAGGUGGGGCGAGGCAGGCCGACUGUACUAAAGUAACGCAAUAAACGCAUUAUCAGCCAAAGCUGGAAUGGCCCCAGCAG
This 3294-nucleotide small RNA is filed under the name Pan troglodytes (chimpanzee). RNAcentral's name for it is "retained intron". The record is from RNAcentral. Lineage: Eukaryota; Metazoa; Chordata; Mammalia; Primates; Hominidae.